CUUCAUUGCCACAUCAUGUAACUCCCUGCUAUACAACUUGAUUGUUUUAAUAUAGAAAAGUGAAUGCAAUCUGUUGUUCACACUAGUUUAACUUGUUGAAAAUUAAAUUCUCUCUUUUUAUUACUGCAGAUAACUACAUGGCCACAUCUCACUCAUUUCUCUGAUGUCUUUUACCAACGUGACUGGGCUGAUUUCCAUCUCUUUACACUUGUCCUAAAUUUCUUCUCCCUUCAAGAUUCUGUAAAAGGCACCAGGCUCAUUUUCUGCUAUCUGUAAUUCGAAUGUCUCCCUCACUCCUCCUUAGAGGGAUGACAUCCCAAAUAUAUUACCUUUGCCCAAGACUAUGUCGUAGGUGAUUCUGCUUUUGGAGAAACACAAUCUAAGUUCGAGAAUCAGACAUUUCUCCAAGGAGCAGCUCUGGCUCCUUUUACUGAAGAAUGGUAUUUAGAAACCAAGAUCUGGGCACUGUAUGUGCUCCUGGCUACUGGGAUGUCUUUGCUUCUAUACCCUCUAAGCAGACAGAACUAGCCCCCCAGUACAUAGUUGUAUAUUCUUAGUUGUGGAUCCUUCUAGUUGUGGCAUGUGGGAUGCUGCCUCAGCAUGGCUUGAUGAGCGGUGCCAUGUCUGCGCCCAGGAUUUGAAUCAAUGAAACACUGGGCAGCCUGCAGCAGAGUGCCUGAACUUAACCACUCAGCCACGGGGCUGGCCCCUCCAGCUUUAUUGAGCAGGAGAAAGUGUGCAGCAAAG
Molecule: long non-coding RNA, 747 nt
Filed under: Equus caballus (horse)
Lineage: Eukaryota; Metazoa; Chordata; Mammalia; Perissodactyla; Equidae
Description: lncRNA (ENSECAG00000045318.1)
Source: RNAcentral